Molecule: ribosomal RNA, 253 nt
Filed under: uncultured bacterium
Lineage: Bacteria
Description: partial 16S ribosomal RNA
Rfam family: Bacterial small subunit ribosomal RNA
Source: RNAcentral
UACGUAGGGUGCGAGCGUUGUCCGGAAUUAUUGGGCGUAAAGGGCUCGUAGGCGGUUUGUCACGUCAGGAGUGAAAACUCGGGGCUCAACCCCGAGCCUGCUUCUGAUACGGGCAGACUAGAGGUAUGCAGGGGAGAACGGAAUUCCUGGUGUAGCGGUGAAAUGCGUAGAGAUCCGGAAGAACACCGGUGGCGAAGGCGGUUAGCUGGGCAGUUGCUGACACUGAGGCGCGACAGCGUGGGGAGCAAACAGG